RNAcentral lists this ribosomal RNA (298 nucleotides) under uncultured bacterium. RNAcentral's name for it is "partial 16S ribosomal RNA". It matches the Rfam family "Bacterial small subunit ribosomal RNA", at positions 338 to 634 of the family's 1533-position model. The record is from RNAcentral.
CCUACGGGACGCAGCAGUGAGGAAUAUUGGUCAAUGGGAGAGAUCCUGAACCAGCCAAGCCGCGUGAGGGAAGACGGCCCUAUGGGUUGUAAACCUCUUUUGUCGGAGAACAAAACCCGGGACGUGUCCCGGACUGCGUGUAUCCGAAGAAAAAGCAUCGGCUAACUCCGUGCCAGCAGCCGCGGUAAUACGGAGGAUGCGAGCGUUAUCCGGAUUUAUUGGGUUUAAAGGGUGCGCAGGCGGAGGCACAAGUCAGCGGUAAAAUCGCGGGGCUCAACCCCGCUCCGCCGUUGACACU